RNAcentral lists this ribosomal RNA (253 nucleotides) under uncultured bacterium. RNAcentral describes it as "partial 16S ribosomal RNA". It matches the Rfam family "Bacterial small subunit ribosomal RNA", at positions 524 to 776 of the family's 1533-position model. The record is from RNAcentral.
UACAGAGGUCUCAAGCGUUGUUCGGAUUCAUUGGGCGUAAAGGGUGCGUAGGCGGCGCGGUAAGUCGGGUGUGAAAUCUCCGGGCUUAACUCGGAACGGUCAAGUGAUACUGUCGCGCUAGAGUGCGGAAGGGGCAAUCAGAAUUCUUGGUGUAGCGGUGAAAUGCGUAGAUAUCAAGAGGAAUACCUGAGGUGAAGACGGGUUGCUAGGCCGACACUGACGCUGAAGCGCGAAAGCCAGGGGAGCAAACGGG